This 277-nucleotide ribosomal RNA is filed under the name uncultured bacterium. RNAcentral's name for it is "partial 16S ribosomal RNA". It matches the Rfam family "Bacterial small subunit ribosomal RNA", at positions 333 to 626 of the family's 1533-position model. The record is from RNAcentral.
CGCCCCCUACGGUGCUCAGCAGUGGGUCCUAUUUCACACUUUUUGAAACCCUGAUGCAGCGACGCCGCGUGAGUGAAGAAGUAUUUCGGUAUGUAAAGCUCUAUCAGCAGGGAAGAAGAAAGACGGUACCUGACUAAGAAGCCCCGGCUAACUACGUGCCAGCAGCCGCGGUAAUACGUAGGGGGCAAGCGUUAUCCGGAUUUACUGGGUGUAAAGGGAGCGUAGACGGCUGUGCAAGUCUGAAGUGAAAGCCCAGGGCUCAACCCUGGGACUGCUU